AGAGAGGCCUCUGCUGACAAUGCACUCAGACUCGCCCUCACUCAGCCUGUCAAUAAUUAACACACCUGGAUUUGAUGGGAGGGAGCAGCAUAAAAGCCAGUAGACCCGAGGAACCUUUGCCAGAAUGUUGCUAUCUUCUCAUGAUUCCCCUGUCUUCCGUGAUUGUACCUUGCCUCUCGACAUCCAUCCGGAUUCCUAACUGCCUUCCCCGAUCCACGACCUCCCUGCUCAGACCCAGACCACGCUGCCUCGCUCCUGCCCCCGACAUCUUGCCUGCUCACGAACUGCCUCUUCGCCUUGCCCCUCUGGAUUUGACGAAGGAUACAACCAACACUCACAGACAACAAACCCUGGUGACAUUUACAUUAUUAAUAUUACACAUAGUCAUCACUCAUUCACUUAGAGUAGCAUACACACGCCAUGUAAUCAUCAAAGGUUUAAAUAAACCUUGUGAACCGCAGUUGUA
Nerophis ophidion (straightnose pipefish) is the source of this 466-nucleotide long non-coding RNA. RefSeq lists it as uncharacterized. The record is from RefSeq and is a predicted model, not a curated record. The transcript has 2 exons. NCBI's taxonomy places the organism in Eukaryota, Metazoa, Chordata, Actinopteri, Syngnathiformes, Syngnathidae.